AGGGAACGCUGGCGGUAGGCCUAACACAUGCAAGUCGAACGGCAGCACAGUAAGAGCUGGCUCUUACGGGUGGCGAGUGGCGGACGGGUGAGGUAUACAUCGGAAUCUACUUGUUCGGGGGUGAUAACGUAGGGAUACUUACGCUAAUACCGCAUACGGCCUACGGGUGAAAGCAGGGGAUCUUCGGACUUUGCGCGAUUGAAUGAGCCGAUGUCGGGUUAGUUAGUUGGCGGGGUAAAGGCCCACCAAGGCGUCGAUCCGUAGCUAGUCUGAGAGGAUGAACAGCUACACUGGGAGUGAGACACCGUCCAGAGUCCUAUAGGAGGCCGCCGUAGGGAAUAUUGGACGAUGGGCGCAAUCCUGAUCCAGCCAUACCGCAUCGGUGAAGCAGGCCUUCGGGUUGUAACGCCCGUUUCUUGGGAUAGAACGGCAGCAGGUUAAUAGACCCCUGUUGUGACGGUACCCACAGAAUAAGCACCGGCUAACUCCGUG
RNAcentral lists this ribosomal RNA (492 nucleotides) under uncultured bacterium. Its description in RNAcentral is "partial 16S ribosomal RNA". It matches the Rfam family "Bacterial small subunit ribosomal RNA", at positions 31 to 507 of the family's 1533-position model. The record is from RNAcentral.